Molecule: ribosomal RNA, 82 nt
Filed under: Meteorium papillarioides
Lineage: Eukaryota; Viridiplantae; Streptophyta; Bryopsida; Hypnales; Meteoriaceae
Also listed under: 1 other name
Description: partial 5.8S ribosomal RNA
Rfam family: 5.8S ribosomal RNA
About the family: 5.8S ribosomal RNA (5.8S rRNA) is a component of the large subunit of the eukaryotic ribosome. It is transcribed by RNA polymerase I as part of the 45S precursor that also contains 18S and 28S rRNA. Functionally, it is thought that 5.8S rRNA may be involved in ribosome translocation.
Source: RNAcentral
GCAGAAUUCCGCGAAUCAUCGAGUCUUUGAACGCAAGUUGCGCCCGAGGCUUGUCCAAGGGCAUUUCCGCUAGAGCGUCNCC